This 253-nucleotide ribosomal RNA is filed under the name uncultured bacterium. RNAcentral describes it as "partial 16S ribosomal RNA". It matches the Rfam family "Bacterial small subunit ribosomal RNA", at positions 524 to 776 of the family's 1533-position model. The record is from RNAcentral.
UACGGGGGGGGCAAGCGUUGUUCGGAAUUACUGGGCGUAAAGGGCUCGUAGGUGGUCAACUAAGUCGGACGUGAAAUCCCUCGGCUUAACCGGGGAACUGCGUCCGAUACUGGAUGACUUGAGUUCGGGAGAGGGAUGCGGAAUUCCAGGUGUAGCGGUGAAAUGCGUAGAUAUCGAGAGGAACACCAGUGGCGAAGGCGAGUCUCUGGACGACUCCUGACACUGAGGCACGAAAGCCAGGGGAGCAAACAGG